AGUUGGCAUGAAAUGUCUACCCUAAUCUAAGGUGGCAGCACAUCGCAUCUUUCCUAAGCAUGGACUAUCUUAUAUUUACUUAGUGAUCAUGAAGAACAGUUGUAUAAACAUUAUACUUAAAAUCACAGAAAUUAAAUAUGAUUCAAAAGAAGAUAUCCAUUAAAAACAAUAAGUUCAUACAACCCCAAGAAUAUAAAAUAAAAUAUAAAACCCAUGUCCCUGUGCUAGGGCUGCAUGCAGCCCUAGAGAGGAGAUCAGCCUUCCAUAGAGUCGUGGGCGACAGCAGCAGUGGCACAGCAGCGGGCUCCCAUUUCUUCUUUUCUUCCUCCCUUCCUUGGGUCUCUCCUUCCUUCUCUAGCAAUUUAUUAUUUUUUUCUUUUGGGAAGUCAUACCCAAAAAGACCCAAAGUAUUCUCUCCCUCCUCUGUUUCCUGUGGGACUUCCACCCGAGAAGAGAU
This 457-nucleotide long non-coding RNA is filed under the name Phoenix dactylifera (date palm). RNAcentral describes it as "long non-coding RNA (PDAC_LNC006448)". The record is from RNAcentral. Lineage: Eukaryota; Viridiplantae; Streptophyta; Magnoliopsida; Arecales; Arecaceae.